AACAGAGUGCACGUGUCCUCAGGUGAACAGGUCAGCACCAGGCCAGACAUAUCCUGAAAAGGAAACAGGAAUUGGAACAUGAGGGACCCACCCCAUAUGUGUGGGAAAUAUAUUUUGACAGUUCAGCACUGCUGUUUCCGCUUGUUUUGACUGUGGUGAACAUAGGGAGUUCUGGAUGACUUCAGGUCUUCUGUUCUUGGUAACAAUGAACAGAGGUUCCUCCACACACUGUAAGACAUGGAUGUAUAGGCAUUAGUUUGGACAGUUUCAACAGAUUUUAUGUAAGUUUGUGCCACGAACCUGACUCAGAUUCAUUACACAUUUCUCUGUAGGUUUCCUUCUGGGUUUCAUUUUCACAGGUCACUCAUAACAGCCACUUGAACGCAAAUCAUGAAUAAAGAUCACUACAGACUAAGCACAUCCAUUCCAAAAAUCCAUCUGCCUCCCAGUACAGGAGGUCCAAAAAUCAGCUAGACUAGUGAUGGGACAAAACAGGACCAGAGUACCCAUGACUGCAACAGGCCACUUUUAAAAGGCCAUUAUAAAAGUGAUAUAUGAUGUUUCAAGAGCAGUGUACCCCAGAGAUGCCAUGUCCAAUUUCUGUGGUAACAGAUUUUUCCCCUCUACAAUAUUCUGGUUCCUUGCACUCAAGUUGUCUUCAUCUCUCAGCCCUGUGAGCAGAAGCAGAUGAGAAGAAGGUUCCCUCAUACCUGCCCCACCAUUACUGUCUCUACAGGGAAAGGAAGUUUUCCAUCACUGAGCACCCAGAGGCUUUGCAGGGCUCUUUAUAGCCACCUCUGCAUCCCACGCCUCACAGCGCACAUAUGGCAGGAGAGAGGGUGGCAGUGCCUGUGGGGGCUCAGAUUCAGGUGCUGCCAGCUGCUGGCUGAGGGCAGCAGACAGACCAGCCACCUUCCCUAGGGACUGGGAGUGUCCCCAAGGGUGUCCCUGCAUCUGAGAGCUGCACUGGUCCCCACCCUCUGCAUCAAACUGGUGCUGCUUUAUCAACAAGUGAGGGCAACCCAGCAGUUACGCCUUUGGAGUCCUGUGUGUUCUCAAACACAACUGUCUAACUCUGCAAUAAAAAGCUGAACUCCUUUCCUUACAAAAAACAGGCCAGAGAGUGGGAAGUGGGGGCUUGGAAAGAGAAAGAGAGUGGGCGAGAGAUUAAACAGCCUCUGGUAUUCAAUGCCUGUGGAUGACAGUUUCAAAAAUAUUUCUAGGGAUAUACUUGGCAGGCACUUGCCUGCAAUUUCCUUCUAGAUACAUAUAAACAGCAAAAGCACACAAACGGCCUCUUACUCAAAGAGAUAUAAUUAUCUUAAUUGUUGUACACGUACAAACACAGUUUAAUAACUGCCUAGGACACCUCUCCCACCAGUGCCCCUUCCUCUUCCCCACAAGCCAUACGACCUGUCCUCACCACACAAACAGGCCAGACUAGAGCCCAGGCCACUGGCACAAGAAGCUGAAGAGGUUUGUGUUUCCCCAGUCCUGUCACAGCACCUACACACGUCAGGUUUCAGAAAGGGUCCUGGAAUCCCAGGAGAUGUAGGGGCUGAGUUCCCAAUGCUUUUUAAAGAGUUGUGAGUGCCUCUUUACUCCAAGAUCCUCUGAAAAUCCUGCAGUCACAGACCCACAAAAAAAAUAUUAACCAAGUGACAAUUUCCUCUAAUGUGUAGAGGCAAUUCCCCAGGGGCAAAACACUAAGUUACAAAGAAGAGUAUAGACAGACGGAGGGGAGAUUGAGAAGUAGGAAAAGAAAAUGACGAGAGGAAAGGGUGGAAAGAACAAAAACAGGGAGGCAAAGGAGAGUACAGGGAACAAUAGGCAUACAAGCUGGAAAGGACUGUCAUUGUCUUGCUGUUGCUUUCUGCUGGGUUUGAUACCUCUUUCUCUGUUUUUGUUUUGUUUUGUUUUUCUUUCCCUGAAAAUCAAUGAAACAUUUUUAUUUUGAGGGAGAAGGAAUGGGGAGGUCUGAGGCAGAACGACUUCUGCCAGCUCUGUGGUCCCAGCCAGUUUUGUGGGUACUGUGCACUGUCAGCCCUUCCUGCUGCACUGGAUUUGACACCAAGCUCAGGAGGCUGGUGGGGAGCAAGAGUGAGAGGGUAGGGAAGAAGGAAUAGCAAAGGAAGGGAAGAACAAGGUGCACAGGCCUUGGAAGGAGGUCCUUGCAUGGGGGAGGAUAAUCAAGCAGAUGAAAAGCACAGAGGAAGAGACUUGUUGGCCUGGCCAUGCAGCAGCAGCUCCAGGCUGGCUGAGGAAGUACUUCAGCAACAUAGAGCAGACCUCCAGCGCUGGCCGAGCUGCUGCUGCUGCUUCCCGCCGGCAACUUUAUCUGGGGAUAAAGAACAAAGGCAAGAGAGAAGGGGAAGGAAGGAAGGAAGCAGGGAGCUGCCUCCUGCCACCUUCUAACAUCAAAUGGCUGCAGGACAUCAGCCUGAGAACCCUUUGAAGUGUGAUUCUUACAAACUACUAAAGUGGGCAAAAACUUUUUUAUUUAAAACAAACAAAAAGUUAAAUCAAACUAACAUCAGCGUUGGGAAUGUGCAGCGAUAAUCCCUGAGUGGAAGCCAAGCCCUUCUGAGUCCAGCAGAACACCCAUGGCUUCCCACCCCGUGGAAGGGGUGGAAAGGAGAACAGCUAUGUAUGUCCUUCGUGACUUUUUUCCCAAUCCCAAGGCUUUCCAGUGGUUUGCAAGCCUUGCCAAUCAUUUGUAAUGCAGGCAACUGGAUCACCUCUGCAGGCAACUCUGGAUCACCUCUAUAGCCAGGCACAUAGAACAGGGAGGCUAGCAAAACAAGAGCCAACCCCAGAACAAACUCCUUGGAGUACAGGCAUGUUUCAGCAGGGCAGGGAUUUCCCAUAGGAAUGAUAGGUGUGCUAAUGUGGAUAUUGAUUUAACUUUUUGAAUUAACCUGACAUACUACUGCCAUGCAAAUAAACGCCAUAUGUUUGUACACAGGCUGAAUUCAAUCAUAAGCUCAUAAUGCAAAUAAAAUCAUAAUGCAAAUGACUGUCACACAGUAAGCCCUUGGAUAUAUGUGCAAAAAGUACCGUUGCAAUUAAAAUGUGAGAUAUUAAUUCAGAAAGUAGACUGAUAAUGAGUAAUUUGUUCACUGAAUUAACUAACCUGCUAGCUACACGAACGAGUGGUAAUUACAGGUAUCAUGAAACGGAGUCACACUGCGUAGCUGCGCUAUAAUUAUAUUUGCUGUAUUAAAGUGUGACCCUGGUAUUACAAUGAGAAACGAGAUGAAAAGCAGGAGAAAAAUCCCAGCUCAGGAACCAGGCAGGUGGAACAAAGCCACAAUGGUGCGCAGAAAGCUACUUUUACUGACUUCACAGCUCCCUGCCAAAGAUAUACACUGCACACAUCUCCGGAGUGACAGAGGAAUCACACAGGUUUGUACUGGUAUUGCACACACACACUGCUCUGGCUUAGUAUCAACCCUGGAAUCACUGCUUUGUGCCAUUACCAGUGACAGGCAAACUCCCUAACAGGAGUAAACUGUCAGUUGUACAAAUCCCAUAUUUUCCCUGCAGUAUAUUUGGUCCUGGCAGACUUGUUGUUGAAUGCACGUACAUCAGGCUGGUGCCAAUGCACUCUCCUCCCCCUGGACCAUUCUGCCUAAAGCUAAAAAGUUGGAAGGAAGAGGAGAGACUGUUUUAGCUGGGCUUAUGGUUGCUGGGUUUUUAUAUAUUGCUUUUCAAGUGGCAAAGCUUGCUGAUUAGCUCUGUGACCUUUCCAGUGCCCAGUCAGCUCAGAAGAGGCAUGGGAAACACGCUGAGGAAAAGAGCUGGGAGGAAAGAAAGCAUGGGAAAGUAGCCAGAAAAACAAAACAAACAAAACAAAAAAAAGAGUGGGAGAAGGAAAUGUAGGGAAUCUGUUCAGAAGAGCAAAGAAUAUGUCAUAAUAGUACUUACAGAUGCCCCCUCUGGCAAAUACACAUCUCCAGUGGCAGGCCUGACACGUUUUGUCUUUAUUCCCAAACCUGAAAGGAGUAAGACCUGGUUGAACUUGUGUAACACUGCCAUCCAGUGCUGCGAGUGUGCCCCAGGCUGCAGCUGCACCUCUGCACCCUGAUCUGUCCCAUCCCAGGGCAAGGCCACCACCCUAGUUGGGCCCAGGUGUCACCAUCCUCAGAGCCAUGUCCCAUGCUGUGGUCCCCUGCCCACAGACACCCUGGCAGGUCUCCAGCCUGUGGGAGGAGCAGGAUCUGGAGGGCUCAGCCAUCCUCCAUCACUGGAACACCUGGAACAUCACAGAUCACAUCAGUGAACCCUCCUGGAAAGCCUCUGAGCCAGGUUAACCCUCCUCUAACAACUCAGGAGCUUCCUUUAAAGUGAAGAUUAUAAAAACAGCUCUGUUAGAUUAGGUCAAAAGGCUAGAGAUUUUAGACUCACUGAUUGUAUUGGCUGGAGUAGUCAGGAAGGGCAGUUUGUCACCAUCAUCUUCUUUGCCACAAGAUCACCCAAAGGAAUAAGGAAGUGAACCCAUCCACUUAUUUCCCCCCCCUAUUCUCCAGAUCUUUAACAGUCCAAGAAGGAAGACUUCUAUGCUAAAUACACCAACAAGUAGUUGCAUGCCCUUGGGCUUGAGAAGCAAUAUGGGGUAGCUGGUGUCCUCCUUUCUGGAAGGGGGACACUGGUGCUCAGCCCACAAGGCAGAUAGAAUCGCAGACCACACAUGAGGAUGUUGGCUGGGUUUUCCUCUAAUGGUCACCACAGUUAAAUUUGACGAGAGACAAAUUUCCUAAGUUUUAGAAAAAUAAAGUUUAAACUUCUUCAAGCAGCCAGAAGGGAUAUUCUCAGACAUCUUUCAGUCUUGACCUGAUUUUUCUUGUUUUUUUUUUAGGUGGCUACAAAGAUCUGACUAAUGUUUUGAGACCAGUUUUAUUUCAAGACCUCUCUCAUAAUAAAUAUCGUAGGUUGAUUAACACAACCCCAAAUAAGUUACAUGCAAAAGCCUCAACAUAUGCAAAGAUAAUCUUUGUCUUUCUCUUGCUUAAUAGCACAGCUUUUCUUUUUUUGUGAUGCUUCUUCAGAGUUUUGUGCAAGCCUUUCCCAUGCCAGCUCAUUCCCUUUUAUAGAGAAACAAUUUUCUUCUGGAUCCAUUUAUCAACUUUCAUCACAGAGAUGUCUGGAACUUCUUCACUACUAACUAAAUUGAUAAAUUUGCUUCUGAAUAAUCACAAAAAUAGCUUCCUUCAACUGAACAGCAGCAGAAUGGACUGCAAUGAAUCACAGAAAUAGAUCUGUUGGCUUUUGAACAUGCUUCAGCAGGAAAACUGCAGCUGAGUUCGAUAAAAUACAGUCACUUUCUCUGCUGACAUGCAUAUUCGGGACAAAAUCUGCCUUUCAAACCAGGUGAAUCUGAAAGGAAACCUUUGAAGUAAAACAUAGAAUAAUGUCCUGCAUGGCUGAGGGAGCAAAACCAAACAAAUGUUUCUUCUUUAUUUUACUGUAGCUAUAUUUAGUUAAUAUUGAAUGGAUUGUUUGAAAAUUUAAUGUAAGGAUUGAUAGUGGGGAUUGUGUUUUUAUUCUUGACUUGCAGAGAUGCAUCAUUAUUAAUUAAAGCAUACUGUACCUUCUGAAGCCAAGCGUACAGCACAGAGUAUUUUCCAUUUCUUUACGUUUAAAGUUUUUUAAUUAAAUUUCUGGAAUAUGCACAGUAAUAACAUUGUUUUUGCAAAAAAAAAAAAAAAAAAAAAAAAGCUUCUAACUGUUCAUUGAUGUAGGUGGAAGGAUACAGUAAUUCUUUUUACCUAGGAAAGUAAGCCCCAGAAGUUUGGCUUUGAUUAUCUGUUGCUUCUAGGCAUUAGUUUUGUCUUACUCUGUGGAAAAAACAUUAAACUCCAGAAUUCUUCCAGAUGAGCUUAAAAUCAAAAUCUGUUGGGAAGAGAUCUAUGUUCAGUUUUUUAUGUUGCUUCCACUUGCUCAGAUAACACGCAGCCAUCACUUCUCAUUUCUGAUAAUUAGAAGUCCCUCUUUUGGUCUUCAGUAGCAAAGGAGCACAGCACAGAGCAUCACCUCUGUUGGCCUUUCAGCACCAGCCUAAUCUUGAAUACAUGAACUAAGCUCUCUGUGCUUAACUAACAACCUUUUAGAUGAGGAUAAACACCAGAAUCAAAAGGUUGUUAUGAGAAUUAUGUGCAUUCCUUUAGAAAAAAUUAAACAAACAACAUUUUUCAAAUGCAGAUCACUACCAGCAGCAUGCCAGAGGGUCACUGUCCUAGAGUUCCUGGUUUCCAAGUUGGAAGAGCCUCUCUGCUUGGCCAGCUCAGCAGCACAACAUUAAGGAACAACCACAGUGACCUCUGAUACUUCGCAACUACAAACAAAAACACCAAGGAACGACUGUGGUCUUAAUACAAAUACAUAUGGUGACAUACAACGAUGACAUAGUAGUGAUGAGGUGAAAAUCCUCAUUCACAGAGAGCUCAGCUUUAAGGCCUAAAAUGCAAACUGUGCGUUUGUAUAACAGAGGGUUGCUGGGCCCUGUUAGUACCAGCCAAUUAUGGCGCCGCUGUCAGUGUGGGCAGUGAAACCUGCUGGCUUGGUUUCCAUCCCUGCUGGCAUCCUUAUCCCUGCUGGGAAAAGUGCAGGAGAAAAAAAUUAUUUUAAACAUGAAGGUGGGCCCUCCUGUUUUUAGGUUCUCAACAUUAGCACCUAGGUGGGAACGGAUUAACAGAAGCAACACCUCUCCAAAAGCCUGGUGUGUGAAACAGCCCAGCUGGGCAACAGGCAGGGGACUCAAAGACUGGUCUUAGCUGAAGGCCAGGUUGGGCCCUCACCCAGGGCAACAUAUUGAUGGGGAAGGGAAGAGACACAGCACGAAGGGGAGAUCCUCAAAGGUCACAGCAGCUGCACCUUAGCAAACUGGGGUCCUCCAAACAUAUCAUAAAAAUGAGUCUUGCACAUAAGUGAUUUCUUUUAACCAUUCUUCAAAGGCUAUUGCUUGCUGUUCCCCACCCUGUGCUCCCAGUAUAGUACUGUAUUCCACACUCAUCAUCCGCAGAAAUCCAGAUUUUCUUACUCAUCUAUCUAUUAGCCCUUAAAGUCUUUUGGUGCCAGAAAUGCUCCCAGUUCAAUAACACAAUUGCAUUGAAGGAGACUGUAACAGAGGAAAACAACUAAGUUUCUCUGAAGUGGAAUCAAUUUGCAGCAGAUUUAUGUACUUCAACUACGUGCAGCACUUGCCUUGUAUCCAGGCACAGAGUCAUAGAAGGUUGUGAUGGAAAGUCCCAUUCAUUUCCAUCAGUCAUUUCUCUGAGGUCUGGGGGAGGAAUGCUACCCACAGUACAUCUUUGAGGCCAUUGUCACAUGCAUUUCUAAACUAAACCAUCUUCCGCUGUUGAGCAUGAACUUUAACAGACAGAAGAAGAGCACUGUGGGGAAUUUUAGGCCUCACUUUACUCAGAUAAUUAAUAUCAUAUAAUGCUGUCUCCCCGUUGCCUCCCUUCCUGCAUAGUUAUACAGGCUAAAUCUACAGAGAGAUUUUUUACUUCAUUCAAAAUGCAAAUCCUCAGAGCCCCUUUUUCAUCUGCUGCCUGAUUUUGGAGCUGGCUAAAUUCCCAUGACAUCUAAGAUCCCAUCCGUAAAACUCCCUGGUUGCCUAUGUUUCUGCCUCUGGGCCUGCCCAAAUAUACUCAAGCCCUGACAACACUGAAUAUCUCAAUAUUUCAGUCCUACAGGGAUUCACAGAUAAGGCAUUCCUCUUCCAGCAGCUGUAGCUGCUAACUAGAAUCCUGUAGGGAUUUCUACAAUGGAGAGCUAGCACAGGCCAUACCUGCAGGCAGAGGAUGGUGGGGCAGCAAUAAACUGCCAUUGCUUUAAUAAAGAAGAGUGGGGAUAAAGAUGGGGAAAGUAUUUCAGAA
Long non-coding RNA from Oxyura jamaicensis (ruddy duck), 7880 nucleotides. RefSeq lists it as uncharacterized. NCBI's taxonomy places the organism in Eukaryota, Metazoa, Chordata, Aves, Anseriformes, Anatidae. The transcript is spliced from 2 exons. The record is from RefSeq and is a predicted model, not a curated record.